CCUUCCCCUUCCCCUUCCCCCCAGUAUACAUAUAUACAUACAGACUUCUCAUAGAAUCAAAUCUAUAAUCGAAUCUUGAAGCUUUCAAGUGGGAGAGAAAAAUGGGGGGUACACGGCGUGGGAGUCAGAAAACUGAAAAGAGCGAAGAAUCAAACGGAGAAAAUGAAAAUGGAGGUGGGAAAGAAAUAGUAGAGUACGAGGAAUCAAGAGCCCAAAGAAUUAAACAAAACAUGGAUAGAAUGAAAAGCCUCGGGAUUUUGGACCUCUCUAAGAAACUCAAGCCGGAACCUAAGCGUCAAAUUGCAAAAACCCUUUCUCAGAAGAAGAAACCCGCACGUGAUGAUCCGCCAAGGCGCUCUACUAGGUGCUCAAUCACUCUCUUCUUCUCAAAACACAAAAUUCGACAUUACUAUUUCUUUUUCUAUGUAUGCGUGUGUACUGGUUUUCUUUUUUGGUUACCUAGAAAACACGAGAGAAAGAAACAAGUCAUCUUUAUAAAUUGUCCCUUAGUUAUUUAUUUUGUUUUUUUCUGAUGAAUUUCCAGUUUUAUUUUGUUCAUGUUCAUGUCUUUUAAUUGUGUGGGGGUUGGGAGAAUGUGAACCCAAAUUUUCCAUCCGGGCCAUUUUUUUCUUGCUAAUGAUGCUUAUAGAAACAGAGAAAUCAUGAAAUUAUAGAUACUGUUUUUUAUUCCUAAUCUUAUAGUUGUCUGAGGAUUUUUAUCAGGUUGCAAGAGAUGCCUCGGGUGAGUUACGUUGAAAUGAAAACUGACAAAAAGGGGAUUCCUGUGAAAAUUGUUGAGAUCCGCAUAGAAGAAGGUGAAAACCCUGAAACUUACACAGAGGAGCAAGAGAAACUUUUGGGCGACUAUAAAAUCCCCUGGACUCUCUUUGUUGACGGAUAUGAUGAAGAAGGGCAGCGCAUUUAUGAUCCUUUCGAGGGAAAGAGUUGCCAUCAAUGCAGGUAUGUACAGAAUGCAUUAAAAUGGUUUGUUUGUUUAGCCGGGCUAUUAAAUUUAUUUUACCAUAUUAACAUUAAAAAAGAAAACCAUCCAUGCUACUAGGAUGAUAUGUAUAUAGGUUUAGGUUUUGGGUUCUAUUGGCCCCGUUUGGUACAGAUUAAUAUAAAAAUGAGAAUGAAAAAUAUAGUCGUUAUGGGGAUAGAAAUUCAAAUUUGGUGGCUUGAUUUGAUUGAUAACAGUCAUAUUUUUCAUUUUAAUGAAGGAAAAGUGGGAAACAAACAGGGGAUAUUUUUUUCCGUGAAUUCGGAACGAGCAACAGUUGAGGAAUGAAAUGAAGGGUGGAAUUUGGAUUCUUCCAUUGGACUUCAUGUACACAGAGGAGAAUAAUUAAAAUUCUUAUUUUAGGAGAAAAAUGUCUUUGUUGUUCAUACAGUAGUUAUGUGCUAUGGGUUUAAUUGUCAUGGAGAAUCAGUACAAGAUUUGGUAGUUCUCGUUCGACUAACUUGACACGCAUUAAUUAACUUAUUCAGAUUGUUUGUAGCUACAACACAUUUAGGAUGGUACAAUUGAUAAAGAAUGAUGGAACCAAAAUGCAACUUGAAAAUGGUAAUAUUGUAACUUGAAAGAAAGCUGAGCAUUUGAUUUGAUUAAUAAAUGGACUAACUUGUUUAGUGCUUAAAUAUUCAAGGACUCCGAUAAAUUUCAAGUAGCAUUAUGAUGAUCUUCUCCUGUGACUAAGACCUUUUUUGGGCUCCAUCAAACCCUUUUUUUUUUCAAAACUCAUUUUUAACCACACAUUUUUCAAUAAAAUAAUAUUUCACGUAAAUUCAAAAUUUUUCCUUACUUUAUAACCACACAUUCUCCAAGAAAAUUACUAUUUCAAAAUACGUUUUCCCCAAAAACACAUUAUGGCCCUGUUUGAGUGGCGAUAUUUUCCAUGGAAAAUGGAAAAUUUUUUCCACAUUCCAACUUUGUUGUUUGAUAGCAAAAGUUUUUCAAUUAAUUUUCCAUUUUCACUUCCUAGUACCUUUUCGUGCAAGUUCAUUAAGUUUGAUAUAACCAAUAACAAUUUCAAUUCCUGCAGACAAAAAACUCGGGGUCUGCGCACUGAAUGCAGCAAAUGCAAGAUUGGCACUGGACAGUUUUGUGGAGAUUGCUUAUACAUGAGGUUUUUGGAAAAGAAAUAUUCGCUUGCUUUCAUCGUUAUUUGUGUUUGAUUUCAUCUCAAGCUGCAAAUGCUGUAUUGUAUUCUAUUCAUGCAUGCUUUUAAUGAAUUAACAUGUAUAUCAAAAUUAAUUUAGGGAUAGGCGGUUCUUUUGUUCCCCUCCUAAGCUUAAAUGGGGAGUUUGGGAUUGCCCCCUACUUAGUAUAUUGACUGAAAGAAUUACUACAAAUGGAGGGGUGUAUGACCACCUUACCUUGUAUUGUUACCAAGGGGGAAUGGGGCAUGGGGGAUCUUUUUUUCUUACACAUACCCACAUUCUUUCCAGAAAGAUCAGUGCACCAAUCACAGUACCCAAAUUUAUUGGAUUUAUUGCUAAAAUAUCAGUACUAAAUUUGAAACUCUUGACAGAUUGCUAGUGUCCCAAAGAAACGGAAGAAUUGGUUACAUUUUUCAUACAAUCUCCUCUUAUAGAUAGACUAAAAAAUCUAUCACAGUUUCUUUCGUAUCAGUCGCUUAUUUAUACUUACAUUCGUUUUUUAAAUCGUGAAAAAAAAAAUAAAAAAAUCGAGUUAUAAAGUAUAAACUUCCACCUUGCUAUUGCAAAACUUCCUAAAAAGAGUUUCCCUAGGAUGGGUAAGGAUGAAAGCGAGUCGGUAUGAUAAUUACUCAUCUCAUCUGCAAAUCAGCCCUUCUUCUAGGGUAUUUUCUCAUCGAGUAAGUGAGUGUAGGAGUGAAAUCUUGGUAUAAUUGGAAAAAACAAUCAGGUCUAAGGCAAUAAAAUAUAAAAAAAUGAACUUUUACAAUCAAAUAAGUGACAAAACUACCUAAUUCUUACAUUUGGACCAUUGAUUGAGCUUGAGGAAUCAAAUGACAUCACCAUGGAUUUCAUCAGUCUGCAGUAUUCUGGAAGGUUUCUCCUUAUAGCCUGUGUCAGCCAAUCAAUUAGCUAGUGUUUCCUUCCUUCAAAUCUAUGUACGUGAUAUCUGCACCCUUCAUUGCCAGUUCCAUAUUUCUUCUAGUAGCUAUUGAAUAUGUCAAGGGCCUGAAUUAUUUUGUUGAAGCAAUUGGAUAGAUGUAAGUGAAUAAACUUCUGCCCGAAUAUGACUGGAGCUUUAUCCGAACAUAGUCGCAAUCCAGUGUUGAGUGCUCUUAACUCCAUGGUUUAAGAAAACCCAAUUGAAACCUAUCUUAAGCCUCACGGCACUUCCUUGAAGCUUGUGGCUACAACACUUAGAAAUUCUUAUUGAUCCAUUUUGAGAAUGGCCAACUGCCUAUUAAAAUAAUAAAAUAUUAUGCUUUUCAGUUUCUUUAUAAAUUGUUCUUUUGUUUGUUUGCGAACUUUAAAUUGUUCAUUAUGAAUUUAUAAAAUUGUUUAUAAUGUAUUAUGAGUUUAUUUUGCAUUAUAAUAAAUUUUAGACAUUUUUAUGGUUUUUGUGAGGCUUACGCCUCAAUACCCGAUUACACUUUUUAAACAUUGCUUAAUUCUGCCUCUCCAAGUCCGAGAAAUUCCCAUAAUAUACGUAAAAGGCUCCUAGAACUUUUCCUUCAUAAUUUCUGAUUACUCACCCUCACCAUGCUACAGGUUGGAUUGACUGCUUGAGGCAUCCAUCUGUGCCCGAGUCUAACAAUCCCAUUUGUGGUUUCCACUACUUAUCUGUAGUGCAUUACUGGUUAGGAGUUUUUAACAUUUACCCGGACUUUGCAAGGGAACAAUCUUUCGUAAUUAGUCCUGCCGUGCUCAUUAUUCAUUAAGUUCAAUAAAUGUUUAACUCUUUUAAUCACCCUUGAAGCUUGCAUUUUUAAUACCAGAAUGCUAGGAGAUAUUUCUUUCAAGCCAUAGAAACCAAAAUAAUUAAUAGAGGUAUAAUGGUAUGAAUAUAUCCAGUUUUGUUCAAACAGUCAGCAAAUCUCCAGAAGUGGGAGCAAAGUUGGAGGGUUUAGAUGAAAGAUUUUACUCCAAUAAGCUGAUACCUUAUCUGCUUUUGGUUUUUUACAUUUAAUACUGCAUGAUUAUUUAUGCACAUUUUUGCUUGAUUAUUUCAUCCACAUGGAGCUGCUGAUGCCAACCCAUCCAAAUGAAGAAUGAUAUUUGAGAGGGAUAGAUUUGUGCCAGAUAUAUAGAUGAAGAAGGAUACUCCUUUUUUUCUUGAUUAAAUCUCAGCACUAUGCAAUGAGAACUUUCCAUUUUGGUUAAGUACCAGUAUAUAAUAUCAGCUCCUGUUAAUGUUGCUGGAAUCUUCAAAAACACUUCUGUGACUGGUAGGCAUAAUUAAUAAUAUUAUUUAAUAUAUUUAGCCUCAGUUUGGGAAGAAUUUAUAAACGGUUUAAUUUAUAAAUAUAUAUAGAAAUGAGUGGUGGAUAAGUGAUAGUACUUGUGGAUCCAUUGAAAUGUGUAGUUGGAAGUUUAACCAUUUAUAAAUGAUUUAAAAGUAAUUUAGUUGUUAGCCAAACAGGGGCUUAAUUUUAUUUUAGAACCAUAGAAAAAUUCUUAUUUUAAUUAUUAAAAGGGCAGAAGUAUCUAGAAUGUGGAACUGUUGAGAUAUCUGAUACCCUAUUGCGCCUUGUACACAGCAAGUUUCUCGGCCUUGUUUAAUUUUAGUACACUGAUUUUAUAUGUUAUUUUCUUUCUCCUUAGUGAGCGAUACACUUCUUCGUCAUCAUCAUAGUUAACUAUUUGGGAUUGUCUUGAGAUUUGGGAGAAAAUCGAAACAACACUUAGUUUUUGGUUGUUACCAACUAAGGGCCUGUUCGACAUAAAUUUUUUGAGAAUAUAUUUUAAGAACAGCGAUUUUUUUGGAGUGGUUAAAAAGUAUGAAAAGUUAUAGGUUUAAUUGCAAAAUUAUUUUAUUGGAAAAAUGUGAUUGAAAAUGAUUUUGGAGAAAAAAUAGUUCUAGAAAAUGUAUGCCAAACAGGGGCUAAUUAAAACCAAUAACUGAAUGCAACUAGUCCUCUCUUUAAUUUUUCUAGGUAUGGGGAGAAUGUAACAGAAGUGAAUCAGAAUCCAAAUUGGAUUUGCCCUGUCUGUCGGGGAAUAUGCAAUUGCAGUCGCUGCAGAAGAGAUAAAGGAUGGGCACCCACCGGAAAUAUCUACAGGAAGGUAAAGUUGAUCUACCUUCAUUUGUUGAUGCUUAUUUGCAGACAAAUUUUUGAAAUUCUCUAGAAUUGGUUCUGGAAAAUCGAAUGGCAUCUAUAAUCUAUAUCUAUUUGGAUGAGAUUUGAAAAGUUAGUUUAUAGUAAGCUUUCUAAUAAAUAAAGUUAUAGUCGGAAAUAAUAAGAGAAAAGCUAACGUAUACCAAUAUGUUUUGAACAAAAAGUUAAAUUUGACAAAUUUUUAAUCUUAGCCAAACACACUCAUGUUCUUUAUUAUUCAUAAACUGUUAAUUUCAGGUAGAGAGACUUGGUUUCAGAUCUGUGGCACAUUAUCUUAUUGAGACCUUUGGCAAUAAAGCAAACCUGGUAGCGGCAGCUGGUGAAAUUCCAGUUUCUGCUUGUGGAUCAAUUUCAAUUGGAGAUAAAAGAGCAGGGAUUGACGAUGAGAAAGAUGGAAUGGAAGAUAUCAAUAGGGAUCAGGACAGUGAUGAGGAUUAUAGUGGUGAAGAGGAGGAUAAGGAUGAGGAUAGUCGAUAACCCUAGCCAGAGAAAUCAAGACAAGGGCAGUUUACUAGAAGACUAAACCUAUUUUUGCUACACAGAACGAAGCUUUAGAAGGGGUAAUCUAAAGUGGCCAGUUCUUUUUGACGAUUUUGAACUGCUAAUCCCAUCCAGUCAUGCCUGUCCAUCACAAAAGCAUGUAUAUUGAUUUUUGUCAGAUGACAGAAGGCUUAGAUUUUGUUGUGUUUCAAAGUUUCAUGGUGUAGCUAUCUUCAAAUCCACAUGUAUUGAAUGCUAUGAAUCAGUAUAUCCGCAUUCCAUUCUGCUUGAGAUUCUCCGGUGGCUUGAACUUGAGUGGAAUAGAAUUUUUAUUUUUAUUUUAAAAAAAUGAGUGGUUGAAAAAAAAUAAAAUUUUUUUUUAUUUA
RNAcentral lists this long non-coding RNA (6139 nucleotides) under Olea europaea subsp. europaea. Lineage: Eukaryota; Viridiplantae; Streptophyta; Magnoliopsida; Lamiales; Oleaceae. The record is from RNAcentral.